RNAcentral lists this ribosomal RNA (301 nucleotides) under uncultured bacterium. Its description in RNAcentral is "partial 16S ribosomal RNA". It matches the Rfam family "Bacterial small subunit ribosomal RNA", at positions 509 to 808 of the family's 1533-position model. The record is from RNAcentral.
CAGUCGCCGCGGUAAUACAGAGGGUGCGAGCGUUAAUCGGAUUUACUGGGCGUAAAGCGUGCGUAGGCGGCUUCUUAAGUCGGAUGUGAAAUCCCUGAGCUUAACUUAGGAAUUGCAUUCGAUACUGGGAAGCUAGAGUAUGGGAGAGGAUGGUAGAAUUCCAGGUGUAGCGGUGAAAUGCGUAGAGAUCUGGAGGAAUACCGAUGGCGAAGGCAGCCAUCUGGCCUAAUACUGACGCUGAGGUACGAAAGCAUGGGGAGCAAACAGGAUUAGAUACCCCCUGUAGUCCCUGUCUCUUAUA